GAUUUCGUGUAGUACAUGUAGAAGUACACGUUCAGAAUCAUAGUGAACACCACGAAGACCGCUCCCGCGAUAAAAACUCCUUUGCGCAGGGACUCGCAAGUCCAGCUCCCCACGUAUACCAUAUGCCUAUACCUGGUGUGGUACGCGUUCUUUGUUGCUCCAGCUAUCAGGCACGACUCCGCGAUCAUGAAUGUGACCCUGACAAUGCGGCAG
This 213-nucleotide small RNA is filed under the name Oryza sativa Japonica Group (Japanese rice). RNAcentral describes it as "sRNA Os09g0281450". Lineage: Eukaryota; Viridiplantae; Streptophyta; Magnoliopsida; Poales; Poaceae. The record is from RNAcentral.